AUUCCAGCUCCAAUAGCGUAUAUUAAAGUUGUUGCAGUUAAAAAGCUCGUAGUUGGAUUUCUGGUUUGAUGCCCUGGCCCGCUUCAAAUUUUGGAGUGUGUGCCGGCUGUGCGUCUGCCAUCCUUCUAGAAAACGUUCGUACCCUUCACUGGGCCGCGUUCGAGAUCUAGAUCUUUUACUUUGAAAAAAUUAGAGUGUUUAAAGCAGGCAGUUGCUAUGAAUACAUUAGCAUGGAAUAAUAAUCUAGGACUUCGGUUCUAUUUUGUUGGUUUCUAGUACUGAAGUAAUGAUUGAUAGGGAUAGUUGGGGGUGCUAGUAUUGAGCGGCCAGAGGUGAAAUUCUUGGAUUCGCUCAAGACUAACUUAUGCGAAAGCAUUCACCAAGGAUGUCUUCAUCA
This 397-nucleotide ribosomal RNA is filed under the name Botuliformidae sp. Its description in RNAcentral is "partial small subunit ribosomal RNA". It matches the Rfam family "Eukaryotic small subunit ribosomal RNA", at positions 582 to 975 of the family's 1831-position model. The record is from RNAcentral. Lineage: Eukaryota; Cercozoa; Thecofilosea.